UUUACCCAUCUGUAAAAAUGAGCUGAGAAGGAAAUGGCAAACCCCUCCAAUAUCUCUGCCAAGAAAAUUCCGAAUGGGCUCACAGAAAGUUGGACAGACAGGAAUGAAACAAUGAACAGCAAAGUGAGCGCCAGAGAAGGGAAGCAAGAGGGCAGAAGUUCUGAUGGUCAGCCUGCUCUGUCAGCUCCUGCACCUGAGGGAAUGUUUUCAGCCAGUGGCUCCUGGGCCGCAGGAGGGACAGGCCCAGGAGGAGAAUGGCCAUAGGAAUGAGCAGCCCGGGCCAGCCCUGGAAGCUUGUCCGGCCCCCGGCCAGGAGGGACAAAGGAGGGAAGGCAGCCAGUUGGAGGAUUGAGGUUCAAGAGCUACAAUGAUACUUGCCCAAAAGUAAGAGAGUAGAGGAUCAGAAUUCGAACCCAGGUGUCCUGCUGGAGAGAGCCGUGCCUCUCUGAGAACCCGACAUCCCCCUCCUCUCUUUUUCAGGCAUAGGAUUUUCACCUUUUUGUUUGUUUGCUUGCUUGCUUAUGUUUUUUUUCUUUUGGUCUGAUUUUUCUUGUACAACAUGAC
Molecule: long non-coding RNA, 564 nt
Filed under: Sarcophilus harrisii (Tasmanian devil)
Lineage: Eukaryota; Metazoa; Chordata; Mammalia; Dasyuromorphia; Dasyuridae
Description: lncRNA (ENSSHAG00000023106.1)
Source: RNAcentral